Molecule: ribosomal RNA, 430 nt
Filed under: uncultured bacterium
Lineage: Bacteria
Description: bacterial SSU rRNA
Rfam family: Bacterial small subunit ribosomal RNA
Source: RNAcentral
GUGGGGAAUAUUGCACAAUGGGCGAAAGCCUGAUGCAGCGACGCCGCGUGAGGGAUGACGGCCUUCGGGUUGUAAACCUCUUUCAGCUCCGAAGAAGCGCAAGUGACGGUAGGAGCAGAAGAAGCACCGGCUAACUACGUGCCAGCAGCCGCGGUAAUACGUAGGGUGCAAGCGUUGUCCGGAAUUAUUGGGCGUAAAGAGCUCGUAGGCGGUGUGUCGCGUCUGCUGUGAAAACUCAGGGCUCAACUCUGAGCUUGCAGUGGGUACGGGCACACUUGAGUGCUGUAGGGGAGACUGGAAUUCCUGGUGUAGCGGUGAAAUGCGCAGAUAUCAGGAGGAACACCGGUGGCGAAGGCGGGUCUCUGGGCAGUUACUGACGCUGAGGAGCGAAAGCAUGGGGAGCGAACAGGAUUAGAAACCCCGGUAGUCC